GGCUGGUCCUGUGGUAGUAGGUUAUCAGAACUUAGUCUCAUUAAAGUUGGUAUAUAGCCCCUCACUGCUAAAUUUGGCUUAAA
This is an unclassified non-coding RNA of Aotus nancymaae (Ma's night monkey), 83 nucleotides long. It matches the Rfam family "Y RNA". Rfam says of the family: Y RNAs are components of the Ro ribonucleoprotein particle (Ro RNP), in association with Ro60 and La proteins. The Y RNAs and Ro60 and La proteins are well conserved, but the function of the Ro RNP is not known. Lineage: Eukaryota; Metazoa; Chordata; Mammalia; Primates; Aotidae. The record is from Ensembl.